GGAGAGGUCGUAUAACGGUUAUUACAAGAGUUUGCUAAACUCUGACUGCGCAAGCGGUCUUGUGGGUUCGAAUCCCACCCUCUCCG
Molecule: transfer RNA, 86 nt
Filed under: bacterium
Lineage: Bacteria
Description: tRNA-Ser
Rfam family: tRNA
About the family: Transfer RNA (tRNA) molecules are approximately 80 nucleotides in length. Their secondary structure includes four short double-helical elements and three loops (D, anti-codon, and T loops).
Source: RNAcentral